GAACUACUCCCUCCGUUCGGAAUUACUGGUCUCAGAAAUGGAUGUAUCUAGAACUAAAAUACGUCUAGAUACAUCUAUUUCUGUGACAAGUAAUUCCAAACGAAGGGAGUACCUA
Molecule: non-coding RNA, 115 nt
Organism: Triticum urartu
Lineage: Eukaryota; Viridiplantae; Streptophyta; Magnoliopsida; Poales; Poaceae
Source: Rfam